This 497-nucleotide ribosomal RNA is filed under the name uncultured bacterium. Its description in RNAcentral is "partial 16S ribosomal RNA". It matches the Rfam family "Bacterial small subunit ribosomal RNA", at positions 28 to 507 of the family's 1533-position model. The record is from RNAcentral.
GAUGAACGCUGGCGGCGUGCCUAAUACAUGCAAGUCGAGCGAACAGACGAGGAGCUUGCUCCUCUGACGUUAGCGGCGGACGGGUGAGUAACACGUGGAUAACCUACCUAUAAGACUGGGAUAACUUCGGGAAACCGGAGCUAAUACCGGAUAACAUGUUGAACCGCAUGGUUCAACAGUGAAAGACGGUCUUGCUGUCACUUAUAGAUGGAUCCGCGCCGCAUUAUCUAGUUGGUAAGGUAACGGCUUACCAAGGCAACGAUGCGUAGCCGACCUGAGAGGGUGAUCGGCCACACUGGAACUGAGACACGGUCCAGACUCCUACGGGAGGAAGCAGUAGGGAAUCUUCCGCAAUGGGCGAAAGCCUGACGGAGCAACGCCGCGUGAGUGAAGAAGGUCUUCGGAUCGUAAAACUCUGUUAUUAGGGAAGAACAAAUGUGUAAGUAACUAUGCACGUCUUGACGGUACCUAAUCAGAAAGCCACGGCUAACUACGUG